UACGUAGGGUGCGAGCGUUAAUCGGAGUUACUGGGCGUAAAGCGUGCGCAGGCGGUUUUGUAAGCCAGAUGUGAAAUCCCCGGGCUUAACCUGGGAAUGGCAUUUGGGACUGCAAGGCUUGAGUGCGGCAGAGGAGACUGGAAUUCCUGGUGUAGCAGUGAAAUGCGUAGAUAUCAGGAGGAAUACCGAUGGCGAAGGCAGGUCUCUGGGCUGACACUGACGCUCAUGCACGAAAGCGUGGGGAGCAAACAGG
This 253-nucleotide ribosomal RNA is filed under the name uncultured bacterium. Its description in RNAcentral is "partial 16S ribosomal RNA". It matches the Rfam family "Bacterial small subunit ribosomal RNA", at positions 524 to 776 of the family's 1533-position model. The record is from RNAcentral.